GGUUCUGUUGUGUAAUGGUUAGCACUCUGCACUUUGAAUCCAGUGUUCCGAGUUCAAAUCUCGGAAGGACCU
This 72-nucleotide transfer RNA is filed under the name Danionella translucida. It matches the Rfam family "tRNA". Rfam says of the family: Transfer RNA (tRNA) molecules are approximately 80 nucleotides in length. Their secondary structure includes four short double-helical elements and three loops (D, anti-codon, and T loops). The record is from Rfam by way of RNAcentral. Lineage: Eukaryota; Metazoa; Chordata; Actinopteri; Cypriniformes; Danionidae. RNAcentral also lists the same sequence under 1 other name.